GUGGAAUGAAUUAAAAAGUAAUUGAGUGAGAUUAAGCAGUGAAUGUAGCUAGGAUGGACGCAGCAAAUAGGUGAAAGUCCAAGUGAAAUGAACAUCUUUGUCCCUAUAAUUACUGAAUGUUACACACUUUCUCGGAAGGUUCUUAAUCCUUCUUGCUAGUUGCCAAACUUGACUUUAUACGUUCAUGUUUCCUUACUGUAACCUUCACAACCAACAAACUUUCUUAUUUGUCGCUUUCAAAUCUUUCUG
This 249-nucleotide long non-coding RNA is filed under the name Vigna radiata. RNAcentral describes it as "long non-coding RNA (VRAD_LNC017526)". Lineage: Eukaryota; Viridiplantae; Streptophyta; Magnoliopsida; Fabales; Fabaceae. The record is from RNAcentral.